AAGAUCUAAAGCAAGUCUCAAGCACAACUAAUAUUGAGCAGAAUAGAGAGCAGGGAGAUUCAGGUGGAUAUUGGACUGGAAUGCUGGGUGGUGGUGGAGGAUCAUGGCAAAGCUAGACAGAUAGAAGAAAAUAAUUAAUCUGGGUGGGUCUUAUUUUCUACUUUUUUUUUUUAUUUUUUAAGAAAAAAAAAUAUUAAUUUGGGUGACCC
This 209-nucleotide unclassified non-coding RNA is filed under the name Hevea brasiliensis (rubber tree). The record is from RNAcentral. Lineage: Eukaryota; Viridiplantae; Streptophyta; Magnoliopsida; Malpighiales; Euphorbiaceae.